UACAGAGGUGGCAAGCGUUGUUCGGAAUCACUGGGCGUAAAGCGCACGUAGGCGGAUUCGUAAGUCAGGGGUGAAAUCCCGGGGCUCAACCUCGGAACUGCCUUUGAUACUGCGGGUCUUGAGUCCGAUAGAGGUGGGUGGAAUUCCUAGUGUAGAGGUGAAAUUCGUAGAUAUUAGGAAGAACACCGGUGGCGAAGGCGGCCCACUGGAUCGGUACUGACGCUGAGGUGCGAAAGCGUGGGGAGCAAACAGG
RNAcentral lists this ribosomal RNA (253 nucleotides) under uncultured bacterium. Its description in RNAcentral is "partial 16S ribosomal RNA". It matches the Rfam family "Bacterial small subunit ribosomal RNA", at positions 524 to 776 of the family's 1533-position model. The record is from RNAcentral.